ACCCGAAACCAGGUGAUCUACCCUUGGUCAGGUUGAAGUUCAGGUAACACUGAAUGGAGGACCGAACCGACUUACGUUGAAAAGUGAGCGGAUGAACUGAGGGUAGCGGAGAAAUUCCAAUCGAACUUGGAGAUAGCUGGUUCUCUCCGAAAUAGCUUUAGGGCUAGCCUCAAGUGAUGAUUAUUGGAGGUAGAGCACUGUUUGGACGAGGGGCCCCUCUCGGGUUACCGAAUUCAGACAAACUCCGAAUGCCAAAUAAUUUAACUUGGGAGUCAGAAUGUGGGUGAUAAGGUCCAUAUUCGAAAGGGAAACAGCCCAGACCACCAGCUAAGGUCCCAAAAUAUAUGUUAAGUGGAAAAGGAUGUGGCGUUGCCCAGACAACUAGGAUGUUGGCUUAGAAGCAGCCAUCAUUUAAAGAGUGCGUAAUAGCUCACUAGUCGAGUGACACUGCGCCGAAAAUGUACCGGGGCUAAACAUAU
RNAcentral lists this ribosomal RNA (479 nucleotides) under Staphylococcus pseudintermedius. Its description in RNAcentral is "partial 23S ribosomal RNA". It matches the Rfam family "Bacterial large subunit ribosomal RNA", at positions 713 to 1191 of the family's 2925-position model. Lineage: Bacteria; Bacillati; Bacillota; Bacilli; Caryophanales; Staphylococcaceae. The record is from RNAcentral.